This 497-nucleotide ribosomal RNA is filed under the name uncultured bacterium. Its description in RNAcentral is "partial 16S ribosomal RNA". It matches the Rfam family "Bacterial small subunit ribosomal RNA", at positions 28 to 507 of the family's 1533-position model. The record is from RNAcentral.
GAUGAACGCUGGCGGCGUGCCUAAUACAUGCAAGUCGAGCGAACGGACGAGGAGCUUGCUUUUCUGAUGUUAGCGGCGGACGGGUGAGUAACACGUGGAUAACCUACCUAUAAGACUGGGAUAACUUCGGGAAACCGGAGCUAAUACCGGAUAAUAUUUUGAACCGCAUGGUUCAAAAGUGAAAGACGGUCUUGCUGUCACUUAUAGAUGGAUCCGCGCUGCAUGAGCUAGUUGGUAAGGUAACGGCUUACCAAGGCAACGAGGCAUAGCCGACCUGAGGGGGUGAUCGCCCACACGGGCAGUGAGACUGGGCCGCGACUCUGGCGGGAGGCCACAGCAGGGAAUCCUCCGGGAUGGGGCAGAGCCUAACAGUGCAACGCCGGGUGAAGCAUGAAGGUGUUAGGAUCGGAAAACUAUGUUAUUCUGGGAGAACUAAUGUGUAAGUAACUGUGCACAUCUUGACAGUACCUAGUCAGAAAGCCACGGCUAACUCCGUG